Molecule: RNA transcript, 5364 nt
Organism: Pogoniulus pusillus (Red-fronted tinkerbird)
Lineage: Eukaryota; Metazoa; Chordata; Aves; Piciformes; Lybiidae
Gene: G3BP2
Gene name: G3BP stress granule assembly factor 2
Exons: 16
Source: RefSeq, a predicted model, not a curated record
CGGCACGCACAGGCACGCGCGCACGGGAGCCCCCGGCUGCCCCUCCCGCGCCCGGCUCUGACAUCGCCGCCGCCGCUCCCGCUCCCUGUGCCGCCCCCGCCGCAGGACACGCCGAGAGCCAGGUCCGCCGCGCCCGACACCCAGCAGGCUCAGGGCAGGAAACGUGCCCCGGCCCCACGCACCCGAGACUCUUUCCUUAGCUUUUGACACUGAGUACCAAAGAAAUGGUGAUGGAGAAGCCAAGUCCCCUGCUCGUGGGGAGGGAGUUCGUGAGACAGUACUACACCCUGCUAAAUAAAGCUCCUGACUUCCUGCACAGGUUUUAUGGCAGGAAUUCUUCUUACGUGCACGGAGGGCUGGAUGCCAGCGGGAAGCCGCAGGAGGCAGUGUAUGGCCAAGCUGAGAUACACAAGAAGGUGAUGUCCUUGCAGUUCAGCGAGUGCCACACCAAGAUCCGCCACGUGGACGCCCAUGCCACGCUGAGCGAUGGGGUGGUGGUGCAGGUGAUGGGAGAGCUCUCCAACAAUGGGCAGCCCAUGAGGAAGUUCAUGCAGACUUUUGUGCUUGCUCCAGAGGGCUCUGUUCCAAACAAGUUCUAUGUCCAUAAUGAUAUCUUCAGAUACGAAGAUGAAGUGUUUGGGGAUUCGGAAGGAGAACUUGAUGAAGAGUCUGAGGAAGAGGUGGAAGAGGAACAGGAGGAAAGACAACCAUCACCUGAGCCUGUGCAGGAGAAUGCAAGCAGUACUUACUAUGAAAACCACCCUGUAACCAAUGGGAUCGAGGAGGCACUGGAGGAGUCAUCUCAUGAGCCUGAGCCUGAAUUGGAAUCGGAGACAAAACCCGAGGAGCUGAAGACUGAAGUAGAAGAGAAGACCCUUGAGGAGCUGGAGGAGAAGUCUCCAUCUCCACCUCCUGUAGAACCUGUUUCACUGCCACAAGAACCACCAAAGGCUUUCUCUUGGGCUUCAGUGACCAGUAAAAACCUGCCUCCUAGUGGUACUGUUUCUUCCUCUGGAAUUCCACCCCAUGUUAAAGCACCAGUCUCACAGCCAAGAGUUGAAACUAAGCCUGAAGCUCAGUCCCAGCCCCCUCGUGUGCGUGAGCAGCGUCCCAGGGAGCGGCCUGGUUUCCCACCCCGCGGCCCUCGGCCAGGGAGAGGGGACAUGGAGCAGAACGAGUCAGAUAAUCGCCGGAUCAUUCGCUACCCAGACAGCCACCAGCUCUUUGUGGGGAACCUGCCACACGACAUCGACGAGAGCGAGCUGAAGGAGUUCUUCAUGAGCUUUGGAAAUGUGGUGGAACUUCGCAUAAACACCAAAGGAGUGGGAGGAAAGCUGCCCAACUUCGGGUUUGUGGUGUUUGAUGAUUCUGAGCCCGUCCAGCGAAUUCUAGUUGCCAAACCCAUUAUGUUCCGGGGCGAGGUGCGCCUCAACGUGGAGGAGAAGAAGACCAGAGCCGCUCGUGAGAGGGAGACGCGCGGCGGCGGCGGCGACGAGCGCAGGGACCUGCGGCGCAGCGAGCGCGGCCCCGGGGGGCCCCGCGGCAUAGUGGGUGGCGGCAUGAUGCGGGAGCGCGACGGCAGAGGACCCCCGGCGCGGGGCGCCAUGGCGCAGAAGCUGGGCUCGGGCCGCGGCAGCGGGCAGAUGGAGGGGCGCUUCGCCGGGCAGCGCCGCUGACGGCCCCGUGCCCGCCGGCGCAGCGUCCAUCGUGUUUGCAUUCUCGUUCAUUUCUUUUGGCUUUGGAAUGUGACACAGCCCUCCCGAUCAUUUCUUUGAUGUGAGAGCAUCUUUUGGUUUCCAGUUUCAAUCGAGGUGGACGUUGUUUCCCCAGUUCACACCAGGAAUCACGCUGUUAAUUUAUCAAUGUAGACUUGGAGAAGUGAGGACUGAGAACACAAACAAAUAAAGAACACAAAACAACAGACCGGUGAACUAUCUGCAACAAAGGUGACCUAAGGGACGUGCCCAAUAGAAUUCGGGUCCUUGCAGUCCAAACCCUCUGCUGCACACUUUGUGUCAGUGUUCCUGUUUCUGCCUCUUCCCGUUGGAAACACAAACAGUGCAAUCUGUGCAAUUGGAGAAGCUUGCCUUUUUUUUCUUUUGGGUUGGUUUUUUGGUUUGGGUUUUUUGUUUUCGGUCCUUCUUAGAACACUCAGCUCAGACAGACUCGUGUUUACGCACUCAUCCAAUGCACUGAUGGGUACUCUGAACUCGUGGCUGUGACACCUGCAGGAGGCUUCGGAGGAAACAGCCCCUUCAUCCUCUUCCUCAGAACAGAAUCGCUUGUGAAACGAUGCGGGCAUCUGAUCUGCUGGCUGUGACCAACACCUGGACACACACAAACCUUAAUGAGACUACACCCGUAUUCCAGAAGGAAUCCCUUUAGCUUGUAAACGAAGCCAGAACCCAGAGCUCCAGAGCCGUGGGCCCUGAGUAGGCAACCAGUUUGAUAGCUCACGUCAGGUUACUUUCCUAUCUGCCCCUCUCCGGUACAGGGAUGGCUGCGCUCGCCACACUCCUCCCGCCCCGGCCCCCUCGAUAAGCGUUGUACAGUGAAACUUGUCUUGACUGUAUUUGAGUUCUCUGGUAAUGUAAUAAGCAUGAUGGUGCCUUCUCUGAACACAUCAUUCCAGUCUUGCUGGUGACUUUGUACAGUACCGUGUAUCAAUUACUGUGCUGCGAAGCCGGUCGGCUGCAAAGCAUUUAAAGGAAAUCCUGGGAAAAAAAAUUGUAUUAAAAAAAAAAAAAACAAACUAAGAAAAAAAAGGAAAAAAAAAAAAAAAAACAACAAAACCAAAACUGCAGUAUCUGUCAAUCAGUAAAACCUUGCUAGUGCUCAUCCGCUCCUCGGUUAACAGCUUCGCCUGGUUCGUGGUAGAGGGGUGGGGGGAAAGGGAGGAAGAAGGCAUCGAGUGGUCUGCAGCUUGUCUCUUUAAUCAGAGUAAAGAAAGCAGAGCUGAGAUCUGCCCUGGACGUGAAUGUUAGAAGGUGGUGGCGGUGGGUGAGAGCUUCUGGCCAGCCCGUGGUCAGCAGAACUGAGCAUCCUUUGCCAGGCCAAGCUCUUCGGAGGAGGAUACUGCGGUUCUCGGAGGACAAAGCAGCAGCUCUUAAGUAUUUGCAUUUUCCAGUUGCACUUUUUACAAACUCUUACUCGUUUUGCACAUAACUCUCAGCUGAAGCUGAUGCGUCCGUGGCUCCGGGCUGAAGGAUAGGAAGGAGACAUCCUCCUCUUCAGUGCGACUGGUGGGUGUCCCGCGGAGUGGCCCAUGUCUGGAUGAUGUCUCGGAGCGCAUCUGUGGACGGCAGCUGCAGCAGCCAGCACAGCUGGGCUGCGCUUGCCCGAGCAGAAGGAGGUGUUUGCAGGUGCCUCUCUGGAAGUGUGACCACUUAACGCUGCUCCAGGCACAGAAGGUCCCACCUCGGAGAGCAGAAGCAGCUCGCUGUGGAGCACACUUCACCUUUUGCUGUGCUGUCUGAAGACCACCAGUGGUAGCAGGAGACACCGUAGCGCGUUUGGCUGGAGCUGGUCUUCUGCCAAGUAGCAGUUGGGAAGUGGUUGGACAGUGGCACAGCUGUGUGAGCUGAAACACUGGGAUGGAAAAAUGAGAUCCUGUAGAAGACCAUUAAGCCCAAGUCACCUCUGAGGAGCAAGAAUCCUCCACAGCUACACGAUUUGCUGGUGCCAGAAAUCCCCUCAAUGCUGCCCCCCGAGAGCCUGCAUUGCUUUAGGAGGCCAUAGACACCAGCAAAGACCUGCACACAGCCACUCGGCUGCAGGCUUAGCUGCUUUAACCGAGGAGACAAGGCCCCAGAUCUGUGUGCAUCGCCUGCUGUUCUCCAGCGGAGUUUUCUGGGGAAACCUGCCCGGGAGCUGUUUUCAAACGACUGCUCUUAAGGGGCUGAGGAUUUCCCAGCGCUGGGAGAACCUUCAGCCUUCCUGCAGGCUCAGAAGAUGCUAGCAGUGUUCCACAUGGGAAGAAUUUUUCGCAGCGGAUCCUGUCCUGCUGGUGCAGAGUCACUUGUCAAGGACAAUGGCUGCUGGCAGCGCGUCGAUGUGACAGCGCGGGGAAUGCUGCCAAGGAAAGCAAACUCCUUUGUGCUUCCUGCAGUGUUUCCCUGGCCCCUCAGUCUGAGAUCACCGCUGAUGGCUCUGCAAACUGCCUUUCACCGGGAGGAAAAAAGAAAAAGAGACGACUCAGCAAACUGGAGAAUGGACUUUGCUGAAUGCCCACGGCCACAAAAGCAGGUUGGGCAGGUCACGUGUGUGUGUGUUUGGGUCUCAGUGUGCCCUACAACAGCCGCUCUCUGUGCUGCAGGGGCCCUGCACAUGAGGCAGAAGAGCUUUACCCUCUACAGAAUGGGGGCUGGACUGAGGUCUCCUUUACAUUGGCUUCUAAGAAAACUUGGAGAUGAUGCUGAUUGCACAAAACAAAGAGUCUUUCAACUUCAGAGAUGUUGACUACAGGGCCAUCUUUGUGCUUGGGAAUUCUGCCUGCUUGUGUUCCAGGGAUCAUGGGAUUAUCUAAAUUGGCUUUAAGGAGCUGACUUGCUUUAGAACAAGAGUUCUCCUGGCAUUUAACAAACUAAAUGGACAGUUGCAGCUGAGGUCCGUGAAGUUUCAAUUAUCCCUGGAGAGGUCUGAGUUGGGAAGAACAGGCCUCAUUGAUUCUCAUCCUGUCAUUCAUUCCCAGGAGGCAGCCACGGGUGUUGGGAGCAGGCGGAGCAGGCUGAGCGGCUGUCACAGUUAGAGCUUGCAGGAGGAAGGGGCUGUGUGGCUGUGACCAUGCCGAUGCCUGAGUGGUAUAUGUGACUUGUCUGACAUCGCAGCCUGCUACCCAAGGCUUGCUCCUGUCUCUAGACACUUGCCACUUCUGCCUUUCUCUUAUUGCUGAGACUUCUGCUCUCCUAACCCUUACAAAAGAGCCUGCUUGCUCUCCGCUUGAAAGAAGGUAACACCGUGCCUGACAAGCUGAAAGCACUUCAGUUGGGACUGUGAAAGGAUCUCUCUCCACUGCUCCUAAUGACAGAAGUCCAGGACUUGAAUGCCAGAGACACCUGCCAAGUGGCUUCCCCUUCCCAGUCAGGCUCCGUGAGGAUUUCAGCUCUGCUGGCAGUCAAGGUCAGGACUCUGGUUAGGUCGGGGUCAACGCAGAGCAGGAAGGGAGCCAAAGGGCAGCUUGUCCUUGCUGUUUUUGUCCCUGGAUAAGCUGGAUUCGUAAGUUAUUGAAGAGGGAGGGGGAGGAGGUGAGAAAUGAAAACAGCUCUAACCAGCUGGAACUAGAUCCCUCCUAGCUGGACAGUUACAAUUUGUCAAACAGAAACAAUGCUGGCCUGUUUGCCUUGCAGUAAACACGAUGGGAACAAA